This is a long non-coding RNA of Dicentrarchus labrax (European seabass), 300 nucleotides long. RefSeq lists it as uncharacterized. The transcript is spliced from 3 exons. The record is from RefSeq and is a predicted model, not a curated record. Lineage: Eukaryota; Metazoa; Chordata; Actinopteri; Moronidae.
CAUGCCUGGCCCAAGAGGUUCAGAUGGAGAAGUUGCCGGCAACACCCUGCAUAAUUGUGUGUGGGCCCUGUUGCUUUUCUGCUGAGACAUUCAUGUUGAGCAUUGACCAAAAGGUUGUCAACGACCACAUCACUUCCUUCACCUCUGCCCUCUGCCUGAUGUUUGGGAGUUUCUACUGCUUCAACAUACACUACCCAGUGGAACUACGAUCAACACUAGAGUUUCUCCAAAGGUGUUUCUUCUCAAUAAAUCCUGAGAGAGGCACCAAAGUCGAGUGGAAUAAAAAAAAGAAAGUACUCC